This 78-nucleotide unclassified non-coding RNA is filed under the name Fodinibius roseus. The record is from RNAcentral. Lineage: Bacteria; Pseudomonadati; Balneolota; Balneolia; Balneolales; Balneolaceae.
AACCGCCGCAUACCAGACCGGUACGUUCGGUGGUGUGAGAGGACAGAUAGGGAAUUAAUCCCUAUCUUCCUACUCGAU